RNAcentral lists this ribosomal RNA (253 nucleotides) under uncultured bacterium. RNAcentral's name for it is "partial 16S ribosomal RNA". It matches the Rfam family "Bacterial small subunit ribosomal RNA", at positions 524 to 776 of the family's 1533-position model. The record is from RNAcentral.
GACGGAGGAUGCAAGUGUUAUCCGGAAUCACUGGGCGUAAAGCGUCUGUAGGUGGUUUAAUAAGUCAACUGUUAAAUCUUGAGGCUCAACCUCAAAAUCGCAGUCGAAACUAUUAGGCUAGAGUAUAGUAGGGGUAAAGGGAAUUUCCAGUGGAGCGGUGAAAUGCGUAGAGAUUGGAAAGAACACCGAUGGCGAAGGCACUUUACUGGGCUAUUACUAACACUCAGGGACGAAAGCUAGGGGAGCGAAAGGG